Molecule: ribosomal RNA, 302 nt
Filed under: uncultured bacterium
Lineage: Bacteria
Description: partial 16S ribosomal RNA
Rfam family: Bacterial small subunit ribosomal RNA
Source: RNAcentral
GCAGCAGCCACGGGAAUACGGAGGGUGCAAGCGUUAAUCGGAAUUACUGGGCGUAAAGCGCACGCAGGCGGUCUGUCAAGUCAGAUGUGAAAUCCCCGGGCUUAACCUGGGAACUGCAUUUGAAACUGGCAGGCUAGAGUCUUGUAGAGGGGGGUAGAAUUCCAGGUGUAGCGGUGAAAUGCGUAGAGAUCUGGAGGAAUACCGGUGGCGAAGGCGGCCCCCUGGACAAAGACUGACGCUCAGGUGCGAAAGCGUGGGGAGCAAACAGGAUUAGAUACCCGUGUAGUCCCUGUCUCUUAUAU